GCACGCGCGCUACACUGAUGCAUUCAACGAGCCUAGCCUUGACCGAGAGGUCCGGGUAAUCUUUGAAACUGCAUCGUGAUGGGGCUAGAUUAUUGCAAUUAUUAAUCUUCAACGAGGAAUGCCUAGUAAGCGUGAUUCAUCAGAUCGCGUUGAUUACGUCCCUGCCCUUUGUACACACCGCCCGUCGCUCCUACCGAUUGAAUGAUCCGGUGAGGCCCCCGGACUGUGGCAACGCAGCUGGUUCGCCAGCCGCGAUGCCGCGGGAAGCUGUCCAAACCUUAUCAUUUAGAGGAAGGAGAAGUCGUAACAAGGUUUCCGUAGGUGAACCUGCGGAAGGAUCAUU
This 343-nucleotide ribosomal RNA is filed under the name Prymnesium polylepis. Its description in RNAcentral is "partial Eukaryotic small subunit ribosomal RNA". It matches the Rfam family "Eukaryotic small subunit ribosomal RNA", at positions 1489 to 1830 of the family's 1831-position model. Lineage: Eukaryota; Haptophyta; Prymnesiales; Prymnesiaceae. The record is from RNAcentral.